This 468-nucleotide ribosomal RNA is filed under the name uncultured bacterium. Its description in RNAcentral is "partial 16S ribosomal RNA". It matches the Rfam family "Bacterial small subunit ribosomal RNA", at positions 28 to 507 of the family's 1533-position model. The record is from RNAcentral.
GACGAACGCUGGCGGCGUGCUUAACACAUGCAAGUCGAACGGAAAGGCCCUGCUUUUGUGCGGUUCCCGGGUGGCGAACGGGUGAGGAACACGUGAGUAACCUGCCCUUCAUUUUCGGGUAACUUCAGGAAACUGGGCCUAAGCUCAUACCGGAGCUCCUCUUCCAGUGAAGGCGGUGGAACGUUGCUGCGGUUGGGGAUGGACUCGGGGCUUAUCAGCUUGUUAGUGGGGUGGUGGCUUCCCAAGCAAGUGACCGGUCGCCGGCCUGAGAGGGUGACCGGCGACAUUGGGACUGAGAUACGGCCCAGACUGCUACGGGAGGCAGCAGUGGGGAAUAUUGCCCAAUGGGAGGAAGUCUGAUGCAGCAACGCCGCGUGCGGGAUGACGGCUUUCUGGUUGUAAAACGCAUUAGCUUGAGACGAAGCGUGAGUGACGGUAAUGGGUAAAGAAGCACCGGCUAACUACGUG